GAUGAACGCUGGCGGCGUGCCUAAUACAUGCAAGUCGAGCGAACAGACGAGGAGCUUGCUCCUCUGACGUUAGCGGCGGACGGGUGAGUAACACGUGUAUAACCUACCUAUAAGACUGGUAUAACUUCGGGAAACCGGAGCUAAUACCGGAUGAUAUCUUGAACCGCAUGGUUCGAUAGUGAAAUUCGGUGUUGCUGUCACGUAUAGAUGGAUCCGCGCCUCAUUAGCUAGUUGGUAAGGUAACGGCUUACCAAGGGAACGAUGCGUAGCCGAACUGAGAGGGUGAUAGGCCACACUGGAACUGAGACACGGUCCAGACUCCUACGGGAGGCAGCAGUAGGGAAUCUUACGCAAUGGGCGAAAGCAUGACGGAGCAACGCCGAGUGAGUGAUGACGGUCUUCGGAUCGUAAAACUCUGUUAUUAGGGAAGAACAAAUGUGUAAGUAACUGUGCACGUCUUGACGGUAACUAAUCAGAAAGCCACGGCUAACUACGUG
This 497-nucleotide ribosomal RNA is filed under the name uncultured bacterium. Its description in RNAcentral is "partial 16S ribosomal RNA". It matches the Rfam family "Bacterial small subunit ribosomal RNA", at positions 28 to 507 of the family's 1533-position model. The record is from RNAcentral.